GACGAACGCUGGCGGCGUGCUUAACACAUGCAAGUCGAACGCAAAGGCCCUGCUUUUGUGGGGUGCUCGAGUGGCGAACGGGUGAGUAACACGUGAGUAACCUGCCCUUGACUUUGGGAUAACUUCAGGAAACUGGGGCUAAUACCGGAUAGGAGCUCCUGCUGCAUGGUGGGGGUUGGAAAGUUUCGGCGGUUGGGGAUGGACUCGCGGCUUAUCAGCUUGUUGGUGGGGUAGUGGCUUACCAAGGCUUUGACGGGUAGCCGGCCUGAGAGGGUGACCGGCCACAUUGGGACUGAGAUACGGCCCAGACUCCUACGGGAGGCAGCAGUGGGGAAUAUUGCACAAUGGGCGGAAGCCUGAUGCAGCAACGCCGCGUGCGGGAUGACGGCCUUCGGGUUGUAAACCGCUUUCGCCUGUGACGAAGCGUGAGUGACGGUAAUGGGUAAAAAAGCACCGGCUAACUACGUG
Molecule: ribosomal RNA, 468 nt
Filed under: uncultured bacterium
Lineage: Bacteria
Description: partial 16S ribosomal RNA
Rfam family: Bacterial small subunit ribosomal RNA
Source: RNAcentral